This 488-nucleotide long non-coding RNA is filed under the name Monodelphis domestica (gray short-tailed opossum). Its description in RNAcentral is "lncRNA (ENSMODG00000041378.1)". Lineage: Eukaryota; Metazoa; Chordata; Mammalia; Didelphimorphia; Didelphidae. The record is from RNAcentral.
AAAAAAAACUUUUCAGUUUUAUAUAAAAUUACCUGAGUUAUCUUGAGAGACUGAGCACUUUUUAAAAGCUUAUAGAUAAAAACAUUUUAAAACUGUUUGCUAUAUACCAAACACUGUGAUAAACAUUGAGGCUAAAAAAUUUGCAAAACAUUUUUCAAUGUUUUCUUUUAAGGAGUUGAUAUUCUAAGAAGAAGAUAAAACAUUAAGAGAGUGGAAAGGAGAUGAAAGUGAAGACUAUCCAACCAGGAGAUAUUUAAGUGUCCUUUUUGUGAAAGUUCCUGUGCUGGAUGAAAAGAAGCUUGCAUUCUAAUUUUGUAUAAUAUAACAAGAUUGCCAUCAUCUAAACAAGAAAAAAAUAAAAGGAUUGGCAGUUUCCAAGGGCAAGAAAGAUGAAUUCUAUUUUGGACAUGUUGAACUUGAGCUGCUAGCAGGACCUCUGGGCAGAGUUUACUAAUUGGAUAUGUGAAAUGAGAGAUCAAGAGGCAACA